AUUCACUGAUGAGUAGCUUCUGGUUUUCGUUCUUCUGAGUUUGCUGAAGCCAGAUGCCAUUCCUGAAAAGG
RNAcentral lists this small nucleolar RNA (71 nucleotides) under Castor canadensis (American beaver). Its description in RNAcentral is "Small nucleolar RNA SNORD59 (ENSCCNG00000009761.1)". It matches the Rfam family "Small nucleolar RNA SNORD59". From Rfam's summary of the family: U59 belongs to the C/D class of snoRNA which contain the C (UGAUGA) and D (CUGA) box motifs. Most of the members of the box C/D family function in directing site-specific 2'-O-methylation of substrate RNAs. The record is from Rfam by way of RNAcentral. Lineage: Eukaryota; Metazoa; Chordata; Mammalia; Rodentia; Castoridae.